AAACACUUUUAAAAAGGAUGAGUAUGAAAAGGCAGGUCCUAAAUUAAUAAACAUCUUUUUUAAUAAUUUAACACAUUGAAACUGAAAAAUGGUUUAACACAUCAGCUCCUAGAGCAAUAUAGACUUCUCACGUGCUAAGUAAAGCAUUGGCACAAGGGUGCCACUGAAUUAACUAAAUGGAGUCGGAGCCUAAAUGAUUCACCGAGUCCUGAUUCUGGUUGUGCCGUGGGUAUUGUUUCCAUCUCUCCUGGGCUGGACAGGAUUCUGGUUUCCCGAGUAUGGUUAGCGAAUGUAGCAUCAUUUGUUAUUAUUCAGUUCAUUUAUUUCGUGUUUUCUGUUGUUUUCUUUUUUCCUUCUUCUCUUGGGUUAUCUCCAGAUAACAACGUAGCCGCUCGGCACAAAAAGAAAAAAAGGAAGAAGACAGACAAGUCACCAGCGGCCCGCCCGUCUAUGUGGAAGCGCCUUCAGUGCUGGUCAUCCUCGGACAUCCCACCCCCUUCUAAAUAGGCUCUCCCUUUCCCAGACACUCAGAUUCCUUUCCCUUUACCAGCUCCUCACCAAAUACCCUCCCUCAUUUAUGAAGAAAAAAAAAAAAAGGAAAACCACCAAUGACCCGUACGGAAAGGCCAGAGGACCCAUAGUGGCCCCUCCUCCUGACCCCAAAGCAGCUCCCGAGCCUUCAAACUACCAACGUGCCUCUGAGGACAACGGCCUCCUCUCCCAUCCGCCUGCGGUGCCCGGAGCGGCUGUAGAACGAGGAAAGGGGUUCCCGUGCUGCUUCCACUUGUCCCGUUAGUGAGGAUGCUGUGACAGCCCUAAGGGUCACACCCCCAUAUGUGGAACUCCUGUCUGACCCUCCAGCCACUGGAAUCUUGUGAACAAAUGCACUUUGGCCUGGGGAUGCUCACACUGCAAUGACAGACCGACAUCCCCGAGGCCGCCACUCUGUGAGCGUGCCCCUUAGGACACGUGUUAGCUACUUCACCUCCAUUUAAGCGUGCGUGUGCGAGUGCGUGUGCGGGUGAGCAGAUACACGCACGCACGCACUCUCUCAGGCUGGGCCUCGUGGCCCGGACUCCCGCCUCCCUCUCCCAGAAGCCUGGUGGUCCCAGGAGACGCCCAGACCAGCCAAACGACAAGACCUUGAGGUCCUGGUGGACCCUGGUGUCAGGCUCACUGUUAACCCAGAGCGUUGCCAAGCCAGGCCUGGGCCCCAUGUCCUUCAGGCCAGGGCGGUCUUCCAGGCAGGUGGCCUCAGGCUUUGCCUCUCUCCAGCUGGCUCCUGGGCCACCUGCUCACUUUUCUGUAAACACUGGGUCUGCCCGGCCUGGGCGAUGGGGCAAGAAAAGCCCUGCCCGCCCCCUCCCAGCAAGUGUCCACAGUGUGCAGAGGGGAGCGUGUGCGAGAGGCAGGUGCAGCCUGAUUUGAAAGUGGCUGCAGCGCCCCAGUGUCCCCAUCAAGCAUGAGACUUUAUUACUCCUUGAGUGACUUCCUGGGGUAGAAACCAAAUUUAAUCUAUUACAUACAUGUGUUCACCCUCGUGAAAUAGAUGUGCUUUGAGGUGUCCCCCCAAAUAUAUAUAUACUACAGGGUGUCCCCCCAAAUGUAAAUACACUUUCACAGCUGAUAACUCAGUUUUCACUCCAUUUCAGGGUUAACGGAUUUGACGUAAUGGGUGAAGCCAGACUCAGCUUUGAACAAAGGAGAUGUAUCCUCUGGACUUGCUUCUGGGGACACACAAAGGAUGAGGUGUCUGGUACAGAACGGGCCACAGUGCAGGCACCGAGGCCGCUGUGGAGAGAGGAUGCGCACACACAGAGCAGCGGCUCUCGGUGUUUGCGAUUCCAUUGCUUCCUCAGCAGCAGCGCCAGAACUGAGGCGAGCGAUGGAGGCGCCAACACCAAGAACUGUUCCUGCGGUGGGUGUGUGUGCGUAUCUCUCUCCAUAGCUGCCCUGGACUCCUCAUCGUUGUCUGUUGUCUGCCGUCGACUUUUAUCUUUUAUGUGUCCCCAUAAAAGGCCUAGUGCAGAAAUUUUCUUUGUUCAAAGCUCAGUCUGGCUUCACCCAUUUCUUCAAAUGAGUUAAACAUGAAAAGGUGAAAAUUCAGUGAAUUGUCAGCUGUUAAAAGUGUGUGCACAUUUUUUUGGAACUCUACAAUCCGUUCCAUUGGGGGUCAUUCUCUUCCACCAGAGUCUCACCUGUAUGUACAUGGUGGGGGGGGGGGAGGGGCGCCCUAUAUGUUCAAAAGGCAGCCAUUCUAUUCCUUCGGGAGUUGAUUUAUUAUUUCUUUUCACGGUGUGCACAUUUUUUGGACCACCCUAGAUGUACAUUCCAUAGGGAGUCAUUCAUGUUUGUUGGGAGUCUAACCUCUGUGUACCAUUCUUGGGGGAUACUCCAUGUUUAUGUUCCAUAGGGAGUCAUUCAUGUUUAUCGGGAGUCUGACCUGUGUACCAUUCUUGGGGGAUACUCCAUGUUUAUAUUCCAGAGGGAGUCAUGUUUAUCGGGAGUCUGACCUGUGUACCAUUCUUGGGGGACACUCCAUGUUUAUAUUCCAUAGGUAGUCAUGUUUAUCGGGAGUCUGACCUGUGUACCAUUCUUGGGGGAUACUCCAUGUUUAUAUUCCAUAGGGAGUCAUUCAUGUUUAUCGGGAGUCUGACCUGUGUACCAUUCUUGGGGGACACUGCAUGUUUAUGUUCCAUAGGGAAUCAUUCAUGUUUAUCGGGAGUCUGACCUGUGUACCAUUCUUGGGGGACACUCCAUGUUUAUGUUCCAUAGGGAGUCAUUCAUGUUUAUCGGGAGUCUGACCUGUGUACCAUUCUUGGGGGACACUCCAUGUUUAUGUUCCAUAGGGAGUCAUUCAUGUUUAUCGGGAGUCUGACCUGUGUACCAUUCUUGGGCGACACUCCAUGUUUAUGUUCCAUAGGGAGUCAUGUUUAUCGGGAGUCUGACCUGUGUACCAUUCCUGGGGGACACUCCAUGUUUAUAUUCCAUAGGGAGUCAUUCAUGUUUAUCGGGAGUCUGACCUGUGUACCAUUCUUGGGGGACCCUCCAUGUUUAUAUUACAUAAGGAGUCAGUUGUUUGCGUCAGGAGUCUCACCUGCUGCUGUGUGUUUGGCCGGAUUCCUGACACAUUUUGUUUCCUCUUGCUACUAAAGGUGCUCAUCGUGGGAGGUACUGAACCUGGUGAUUGGGGUUUUAUAAAGAUUUUCUCCGUUAGAGCUAAAGUACUGAGAAAUGUUAACAUGGUCAAUUGUCAAAGUGCUUUGGGUUGUAUAUUAAAUAGCCAUUGAUUCUGGAAUACAAGGACGGGUUUGUAAUAAAAUGAGAUGUUGUAGAAUUGA
This is a long non-coding RNA of Myotis daubentonii (Daubenton's bat), 3341 nucleotides long. RefSeq lists it as uncharacterized. Lineage: Eukaryota; Metazoa; Chordata; Mammalia; Chiroptera; Vespertilionidae. The record is from RefSeq and is a predicted model, not a curated record. The transcript is spliced from 7 exons.